CACGUAGGGAGCAAGCGUUGUCCGGAUUUAUUGGGCGUAAAGAGCUCGUAGGUGGUUCGGUAAGUCAGGUGUGAAACCUCCAGGCUCAACCCUGGGAUGCCGGUCGAUACUGCCGGACUAGAGUUCGGAAGAGGCGAGUGGAAUUCCCGGUGUAGCGGUGAAAUGCGCAGAUAUCAGGAGGAACACCGGUGGCGAAGGCGGGUCUCUGGGCAACAACUGACGCUGAGGAGCGAAAGCGUGGGGAGCGAACAGG
Molecule: ribosomal RNA, 253 nt
Filed under: uncultured bacterium
Lineage: Bacteria
Description: partial 16S ribosomal RNA
Rfam family: Bacterial small subunit ribosomal RNA
Source: RNAcentral